GGAGUUGAAGGAACGGAUCCUGAAAGGAGAGAUAGGUUGAUUGACCUCCUUGAUAUAGAUCUCCAGUGGCGAAUGCAUAAGGUAUCUGAUGGGCAACGUCGUCGGGUGCAAAUCUGCAUGGGCCUGUUGCAUCCUUUUAAGGUUCUCUUAUUAGAUGAGGUCACAGUUGACCUUGAUGUCGUCGCGAGGAUGGACCUUCUGGACUUCUUGAAGGA
RNAcentral lists this unclassified non-coding RNA (215 nucleotides) under Hevea brasiliensis (rubber tree). Lineage: Eukaryota; Viridiplantae; Streptophyta; Magnoliopsida; Malpighiales; Euphorbiaceae. The record is from RNAcentral.